This 337-nucleotide RNase P RNA is filed under the name human gut metagenome. RNAcentral describes it as "Bacterial RNase P class B". It matches the Rfam family "Bacterial RNase P class B". From Rfam's summary of the family: Ribonuclease P (RNase P) is a ubiquitous endoribonuclease, found in archaea, bacteria and eukarya as well as chloroplasts and mitochondria. Its best characterised activity is the generation of mature 5'-ends of tRNAs by cleaving the 5'-leader elements of precursor-tRNAs. Cellular RNase Ps are ribonucleoproteins. The record is from RNAcentral.
GACAAACGCUAUACUCUUAUAGUAUAGAGGAAAGUCCAUGCUCACACAAUCUGUGAUGAUUGUAGUGUUCGUGCCUAGGAAAAAAAUAACCUAGGGUAGAGAAAUCUAACGGCGAAGUAACGCCUAAGUCUUCGGAUAUGGUAUUCUUCUGAAAAGUGCCGCAGUGACGAAUUUUAGGAAACUAAAAAAUGAAACGUGGUAAACCCCGCGAGUGAGAAACCCAAAUUAUGGUAGGGGAGCUCUGAUGGAGGAAUCAAACGAAGUCAGGGACUAAGCAUAGGCUUGGUAGAUAAAUGUUUGUCGCCUAAUUUAUUUAGGAACAGAACAUGGCUUAUAA